Molecule: microRNA precursor, 74 nt
Filed under: Medicago truncatula (barrel medic)
Lineage: Eukaryota; Viridiplantae; Streptophyta; Magnoliopsida; Fabales; Fabaceae
Description: MIR5272 microRNA precursor family
Rfam family: MIR5272 microRNA precursor family
Source: Rfam by way of RNAcentral
UUGAAUGUGAAUUGAUUUAUGUUUGGAUACAUUGACUUAGAAGUGAUUCUUAAAAAUUCAUGUUGUUUGGAUAG